AGGAUAAAAGUUUUUAAACAUUUAACUUGCACUUAAAAAAAAUUGAUCUAAUCAAUUUAUCUUA
RNAcentral lists this transfer RNA (64 nucleotides) under Tenebrionoidea sp. 4 KM-2017. RNAcentral describes it as "tRNA-Ala". The record is from RNAcentral. Lineage: Eukaryota; Metazoa; Arthropoda; Insecta; Coleoptera.